Molecule: ribosomal RNA, 463 nt
Filed under: uncultured bacterium
Lineage: Bacteria
Description: partial 16S ribosomal RNA
Rfam family: Bacterial small subunit ribosomal RNA
Source: RNAcentral
CCCGGGUGGCAGCAGUAGGGAAUCUUCCACAAUGGACGAAAGUCUGAUGGAGCAACGCCGCGUGAGUGAAGAAGGGUUUCGGCUCGUAAAGCUCUGUUGGUAGUGAAGAAAGAUAGAGGUAGUAACUGGCCUUUAUUUGACGGUAAUUACUUAGAAAGUCACGGCUAACUACGUGCCAGCAGCCGCGGUAAUACGUAGGUGGCAAGCGUUGUCCGGAUUUAUUGGGCGUAAAGCGAGUGCAGGCGGUUCAAUAAGUCUGAUGUGAAAGCCUUCGGCUCAACCGGAGAAUUGCAUCAGAAACUGUUGAACUGGAGUGUGUGAGAGGAUAGUGGAAUUCCAGGUGUAGGAGUGAAAUCCGUAGAUAUCUGGAGGAACAUCAGUGGCGAAGGCGACUAUCUGGCACAUAACUGACGCUGAGGAGCGAAAGCGUGGGUAGCAAACAGGAUUAGAUACCCGAGUAGUC